AUAUUGGACAAUGGGGGGAACCCUGAUCCAGCCAUGCCGCGUGUGUGAAGAAGGCCUUUUGGUUGUAAAGCACUUUAAGCGAGGAGGAGGCUCUUCUAGUUAAUACCUAGGAUGAGUGGACGUUACUCGCAGAAUAAGCACCGGCUAACUCUGUGCCAGCAGCCGCGGUAAUACAGAGGGUGCGAGCGUUAAUCGGAUUUACUGGGCGUAAAGCGUACGUAGGCGGCUUUUUAAGUCGGAUGUGAAAUCCCUGAGCUUAACUUAGGAAUUGCAUUCGAUACUGGGAAGCUAGAGUAUGGGAGAGGAUGGUAGAAUUCCAGGUGUAGCGGUGAAAUGCGUAGAGAUCUGGAGGAAUACCGGUGGCGAAGGCGGCCCCCUGGACAAAGACUGGCGCUCAGGUGCGAAAGCGUGGGGAGCAAAC
RNAcentral lists this ribosomal RNA (421 nucleotides) under uncultured bacterium. RNAcentral describes it as "bacterial SSU rRNA". It matches the Rfam family "Bacterial small subunit ribosomal RNA", at positions 361 to 773 of the family's 1533-position model. The record is from RNAcentral.